Molecule: ribosomal RNA, 433 nt
Filed under: uncultured bacterium
Lineage: Bacteria
Description: partial 16S ribosomal RNA
Rfam family: Bacterial small subunit ribosomal RNA
Source: RNAcentral
AAUGAACGCUGGCGGCAUGCCUAACACAUGCAAGUCGAACGAAGGCUUCGGCCUUAGUGGCGCACGGGUGCGUAACGCGUGGGAAUCUGCCCCUUGGUUCGGAAUAACAGUUAGAAAUGACUGCUAAUACCGGAUGAUUACGUAAGUCCAAAGAUUUAUCGCCGAGGGAUGAGCCCGCGUAGGAUUAGCUAGUUGGUGUGGUAAGAGCGCACCAAGGCGACGAUCCUUAGCUGGUCUGAGAGGAUGAUCAGCCACACUGGGACUGAGACACGGCCCAGAAUCCUACGGGAAGCAGCAGUGGGGAAUAUUGGACAAUGGGCGAAAGCCUGAUCCAGCAAUGCCGCGUGAGUGAUGAAGGCCUUAGGGUUGUAAAGCUCUUUUACCCGGGAUGAUAAUGACAGUACCGGGAGAAUAAGCACCGGCUAACUCCGUG